CCUACGGGUGGCAGCAGUGGGGAAUAUUGCACAAUGGGGGAAACCCUGAUGCAGCGACGCCGCGUGAGCGAUGAAGUAUUUCGGUAUGUAAAGCUCUAUCAGCAGGGAAGAAAAUGACGGUACCUGACUAAGAAGCCCCGGCUAACUACGUGCCAGCAGCCGCGGUAAUACGUAGGGUGCGAGCGUUAAGCGGAAUUACUGGGCGUAAAGCGCUCGUAGGCGGUAUGUCAAGUCAAGGGUGAAAUCCCCGCGCUCAACGUGGGAACUGCCUUUGAAACUGGCAAACUGGAGUGUGUGAGAGGAUAGUGGAAGUCCAGGGGUAGGAGUGAAAUCCGUAGAUAUCUGGAGGAGCAUCAGUGGCGAAGGCGACCUGCUAGAACAUAACUGACGCUGAUGCGCGAAAGCGUGGGGAGCAAACAGGAUUAGAUACCCUUGUAGUC
This 440-nucleotide ribosomal RNA is filed under the name uncultured bacterium. Its description in RNAcentral is "partial 16S ribosomal RNA". It matches the Rfam family "Bacterial small subunit ribosomal RNA", at positions 338 to 795 of the family's 1533-position model. The record is from RNAcentral.